This 1248-nucleotide ribosomal RNA is filed under the name Geobacillus sp. Its description in RNAcentral is "partial 16S ribosomal RNA". It matches the Rfam family "Bacterial small subunit ribosomal RNA", at positions 36 to 1370 of the family's 1533-position model. The record is from RNAcentral. Lineage: Bacteria; Bacillati; Bacillota; Bacilli; Caryophanales; Anoxybacillaceae.
CGGGCAGUGCGGGAGCUAUACAUGCAGUCGAGCGGACCGAACGGAAGCUUGCUUCUGUUCGGUUAGCGGCGGACGGGUGAGUAACACGUGGGUAACCUGCCCGUAAGACCGGGAUACUCCGCGAAAGAGGUAAUACCCGUAAACCGAGACCCCAGGUCUUCGAUAGAAGGUACUUUGUCCACUUACCGAUGCCGCGCCCAUAGCUAGUCGGUGAGGUAACGCCUCACCAAGGACGAUGGUAGCGCCUGAAGGUGACCGGCCACAUGGGACUGAGACACGGCCCAGACUCUACGGGAGCAGCAGUAGGGAAUCUCCGCAUGACGAAAGUCGACGAAGCGACGCCGCUGAGCGAAGAAGUCUCGAUCGUAAGCUCUGUUGUUAGGGAGAAGAAGUACCGUUCGAAUAGGCGGUACGGUGACGGUACCUAACGAGAAAGCCCCGGCUAACUACGUGCCAGCAGCCGCGGUAAUACGUAGGGGGCGAGCGUUGUCCGGAAUUAUUGGGCGUAAAGCGCGCGCAGGCGGUCCCUUAAGUCUGAUGUGAAAGCCCACGGCUCAACCGUGGAGGGUCAUUGGAAACUGGGGGACUUGAGUGCAGAAGAGGAGAGCGGAAUUCCACGUGUAGCGGUGAAAUGCGUAGAGAUGGGGAGGAACACCAGUGGGAAGGCGGCUCUCUGGUCUGUAACUGACGCUGAGGCGGAAAGCGUGGGGAGCAAACAGGAUUAGAUACCCUGGUAGUCCACCCCGUAAACGAUGAGUGCUAAGUGUUAGAGGGGUUAAACCCUUUAGUGCUGUAGCUAACGCGUUAAGCACUCCGCCUGGGGAGUACGGCCGCAAGGCUGAACUCAAAGGAAUUGACGGGGGCCCGCCAAGCGUGGAGCAUGUGUUUAAUUCGAAGCAACGCGAGACCUUACCAGUCUUGACAUCCCCUGACACCGGAGACAGGCGUCCCCUCGGGGGACAGUGACAGUGGUGCAUGGUUCGUCAGCUCGUUCUGAAUGUGGUAAGUCCGCACGACCAACCUCGCCUAAUGCAGCAUCGUUGCAUUAGGGACUGCCGCUAAGUCGAGAAUGGGAUGACCAAUCCAUGCCUUAGACUGCUAACAGUCUCAAUGCCGUACAAAGGGCUGCGAACCCGCGAGGGGGAGCGAAUCCCAAAAAGCCGCUCUCAGUUCGGAUUGCAGGCUGCAACUCGCCUGCAUGAAGCCGGAAUCGCUAGUAAUCGCGGAUACAGCUGCCGACGGAAUGCC